This 5750-nucleotide long non-coding RNA is filed under the name Equus caballus (horse). RNAcentral's name for it is "lncRNA (ENSECAG00000050803.1)". The record is from RNAcentral. Lineage: Eukaryota; Metazoa; Chordata; Mammalia; Perissodactyla; Equidae.
GGCCCUGAGAGAAGGAGGGAGACUGGUGGCCUUUAAAGGAAAAGACUCAGAGAUUUGAACGGUUGCCAGGCGGCCUCCAGGAAGAAGCAGCUGGGAGAAGCAGGACGGCACUGGACGCUUGGCAGAGAAAGACCCUGGGCAAGAGACUGGGGGUAAAGAUUUGGAGAUGAAAUAGCAAAGCGCUGAUCUAACUCAGGGCUGGCCCAAGCUGUUCCCAAGAGGGGCCCCUCAUCUUUACGAGAAUCUCUUGAGUGUCUGACUGUCUCGCUUGAUGCAGACCCAGGGCCUUUAGCACCCAGCAGAGCUCUUGGCUGAUUAGGCUCAGAGAAGGCAGGGAGCUGCCUGUUAAUGCCCGUGCUUGCUGAAACACGUCAUAGAACACACUGCUCAGAUUUGGCUGCAACGGAGAUUUUAUGUUUUACUAUUUUGCUGUCUAAUUUAAGCCUACCGUAUUUAAAAUGUCUUCUUCCUCGCUUACCCUGUAUUUGCAAUGUACUCACGGCAAAGCGUAUUAGGCAUAAUGGGCAUGCCAAGAUGCUUGUCUUCAAGCAUCUCCCUAUUCAGUGGGAAUGAUUAAACAAAUGUACGGUUAAUUCAUUGAUGUGAGACAGUUGAUAAUACUCAGUAAGAGGGAGGCAAAUAUCCAUGGAGGGAGGGAUGGAAGCGGUGGAGAGCAGGUGGGAUGUGUAAGGAGGUAUAGGAAGGCUAGGGAAAUCCCGGAAGGUUCCAGAGAGAUAUCAGUUCAAUGGGACCUUGAAGAAUGGAGAUAAUUAUCAGACGCAUAGAUGAAAGGGAGGAUGUUUCUGGAGGAUGGAAUGGUGUAGGCACAGCAGUGAGAAGAAAAGUAUAAUGUACAUUCUGGACGCAUCUGUCUACUGGGUAGGAAGCAAAGCAAAGGGUGGUAGGAAGUCAGUUCUGAUAAGUGGGUAGUAGAGAUUAUAGAGUACAAUUAAUAAAAGGCUAAGGAGUCUGGAAUUUAUUCAGAAGGCACAGAGGGAGGAACCAUCAAAAGUUGGGAGGGGUGCUUUGGAGAGACAGGGCUGGUACCUGUGUGUUGGACUCAAAGCAAGAAGACCAAUGACAGGCUUUUAACUUAGUUUAAUUUAAUUUUUGACAGCAAUCCAAUUAAGUAGUAAAUAAAUGGCAGCAGGGAAAAAAAGAGGGGCAAGUAACUAAAGGGACUUCAAGAUACCAGCUGCUGAGCAUGUGAGCAAUUCACCAGCAAUGGAGGGGAAGCCACCGAUGUGGCAGGCUCCUGGAAGAUGCAGAGGGGAUUGGCAGCCCAGGUGGAGACUUGUGGGUUAAAAUGCAGACGGAGCACAGGCAACUGGUUUUGCUCCCUCGCCAUAAAACUGUGUAAAGUGUUAACACCAAACACACACAGGAAACCACAUGGAUGGGAAGAUGGAAGAGGAGCCAAAGCAAAAGACUUUAGAGGCUGGAAAGCAGAGGGACCAGUGGAGAACUGUCUCAGCGCUCCUGAGGAUGUCAAAUCCCAACAGGUGGGAUUUACCAGAACCAAUCCUGUCUCAACCGCAGAAUCCUUAAAAGGCUCAGAAAGCAGCAGCAGGUACCCAUGGGACUGAGUAAAGAGGACAAAACAAGGAAGGAAUUGGGAGGAAGUUGUCUGAGAAGUUAGAUCCUGGGUCUCCCUCCUCGCUCAACAAGGCCGACGACUGCCUCUCGGUCACCCAGGCAAAGGCUCUGAGGCUUAACAGUUUAGAAAGGAUACUCUGAAAUUAGAGUCCCUGACUUGUAGUAUGCGAGACACAGCUGAGUGUGUGGACACACCAAAAGCAGGGGCUCAAUGCCUGGAUGCAUACUCAGUGCUAAAUGCUAAGACACUUUCCACUCCUUCCAUCCUUUAGCCUCAUAGGGCCCCCUCAUAGUGCCAGACUCAUCCCCUCCAUGCAAGAGACUAGAAGAUUAUUACUGAAAAAAACCCAUCAAAUAUUGAUACUGGAGAUUCCCCAAUGAAUAGUCCACCCGAAUCAACCCAAUGUGAAGCUCAAAUUGACAACCCCACUGAUACCCACAGAGCUCCAGUCAGCAUUUUAACCCUUCACUCUGAAUCAUGAGCAGAUAGUCAAGGAUUACUAGACAUCUGAAGAAAUUCUCUAAGUUGGAAAAUAGAGGCCAAAACAAACCGACAGAGGAAACAGAGACUGUGUAAGGAAAUAAUAACUUAAAAAAAAAACCCUAGUGUUAAUAUCUCAGAAAAUAAAAGAAGGUGUCACCUCCAUACUCCUUGAAAAAAGAACAGGAUGCUAUAAUAAAGGAGCUUCUGUGGAACAACAAAAAGAGCUUUUGGAAAUUAAAAGCAUUUAAUAAAAUGAAAAUGUUCCCGUAAGGGUUGAAAAAUAAAGUUGAGGAACUCUCCUAGAGAGUAGAGCAAAAUGACAAAGCCAGGGAAAACAGAAGAGAAAAUAUUUUCAAAUGAGAUGAUCAAUCCAAAUUUGAAUACUAGAAGUCCCCAGCAAAGGAGAACAGAGAAAUAGAGGGAAAGAAUCAAAAAGCAGUCCAAGAAAAAAUCCAUAGAAACAAGGGAGAGGACCUGUCAGCUUCAGAGUUCCCUCCAAAUGCCCAGGAAACGGAUGAAAAUAGACCCAUAGCGAGGUAUAUCACUGUAAAAUUUCAGACCGCUGGUGAUCAAGAAGAUCUCACAAGCUCCUAGAGAGAAAGAACUGGUCACAUACAAGACAAUCAGGAUCCAGAAUGGCUUGAGAUUUCUCAACAGUUUGGAGCCAGUGCUGCCCUUAAAAUGAUGAAGGAUCAAAACAACACUAAAUUUAUACCAUUUCUAAACCGGCAAUAACCUACUAGAAAAUAUAAUAAAAAUAAGGUAUCAUUUACAAUGGUCUCAAAACUAUGAAAUAAACAAUGAUCAAGUUAAACAAAUAUAUGUAAGACCUCUAUAAAGAUGGUUGAAGUAAAUGGAAACAUUUUCCACGAUCUUAGAUGACACUAUUGUGAAAUCUGUAAAUUCAAUCGAAUUCCAGUUGUUCUCAAAACAUGUGUGGAGCUUAAAGUUCUAAGAAUAGAUACAUUAAUCUCAAAUAGAAGAGUGAAGAGGAGGAAUUGCUCGACUAGUUAGAAAGAUCUGAUAGGAAACCAUAGUAACAAUAAAGAUAUUAAUAAUAAUAAUGGUGACAAGGCGAAGCAAAAAGGGAAGGAUAGAUUACUCAGUUGAUGGUUUUCAGAAAAUCGGCUCUUAGUGGGUAGCAGAUAAAUGUUUGCUGAAUCUAUGACUGUGUAGGAAAAAAAAAAUGGAGUCUCUAUCUGUGUUUGUCUAGAACUUCUGAGAAGCAGAUGCCAAGACGGGAGUAAAUGUGCGAGGAUAUUAUUAGGAGAAGCGCCUAAGAGAGAAAAUUGAGAGGAGCCAGCUAGGAGAGACUUCAGACUGCAGUGUAAGUCUGACCCCAAGUGAAGGAGAAUUGACAGACCACACUCUAAAUCUGCACCCGACUAAGGAUCGGGUAAAAACGUCCUAGAGUGCUCUCUGUAGUCUGAGAAAAGUCUGGCAGCACUGAGGGAGAGCCCUCAAGUCAUUGUCGGGCACCCGAAAAGCACAUUCUCUGGAGUUGAAGGUCUAUUGAGUCACUUUCAUGGCCACUGCACCAUCUAAAAGGACAAACAAUGGUGAACUAUAGACGGAUUAAAUAACUAAAUGUAGAAGAUAAACUACAAGUUUAAUAGAUCAAUAUGUGGAAAGUAUCUUUGUGACAUAGGAUGAAGAAGGACUUCUUAAACAAAAUUUUGAAAGAGAUAAUCAUAAGACAAAAGAUCUGAUAAAUAUCCUUGUGUCCAAAUUAAAGAUUUCCUUUCAAUGAUGAAUAACAUGGGCAAAAUUAAUGGGCAUCUGAUGGAGUGGCAGAGGUAGUUCCCAAAACUGAGAAGUGAUUAUAGUUAGAAUAUUGAAAGAAGAAAAUUCAACAAGAAAGGGCAACCCCAAAAGGAAAAUGGGGAAAGAAUAUGAACAGGUAUUUUACAGAAAAGAAAAUUCAAAAAGUAAUGAGAACACAAUUGGAUGUUCAAAAUCAUCUUUAACAAGAAAAAUUAAGAUCAGAAAAACAUUAGAAAAAUGUAAAUGAAAUUAAAACAAUGAGAUAUCAUCUACGAGUCUGGCAAAAAUUAGAAAAUUGGACAAUACCAAAUGUUCAUGGAAAUAGGAGGAUAUAAUACCUGUGUGUCUUUUUUGUGUGAGGUACACCAUUCAUCGCAGCUAUUUUGGAGAACAAUCUGGCAUUAUGUACCCAAAUUAAGUGUAUACAGAAUCUAUUAGCCAGUAGUUCCAUUCCUAGGCAUAAUUCCACAGAAUUCUCACAUAGAUGCAUGAGGAGAUAUAUAUGAAGAUAUUCACUGCAGCAGGAUGUUGCUGUUGACAAAAAUUAGAAGAAACUGGAUAUUUCUCGUUGGAAGAAUGCUUAGAUAAAAUGUGGAUGCACCCCUCAGAGGCCUGUGUAAGACUGGAGUACAUGGAUAUAGAAGCAACAUAUGGAUCUUAAAAAUACAUACUUGGUGAACAAAAAGAAGAAGAAAUUCAGAUUGAGAUAGAUAACAUAAUACCAUCUGUGCCAUUCAAAAACAUAUAUUUAAGAAAAAAUUCAAAUUUACUAAGAUUUGAAGAGUAUAUUCAAAUAAAAACAUACAUUAGAACGGUUGCCUAAGGGAAAAGGGAAUUGGAGUGGAGAGUGAAAUAAAGGAAGCAAAUAAAUAUGCUAAAAGAGAGAGGGGGUAAAUUCUGAAAGAAAAUCUCGAACAUUGAAUUCUAUUGCCAGUUAAACUGUCGAGUAGGAUCAGAGUAGAAUAAGGACAUUUUUAGACAAAGUAUCAAGAGCAAAUCUCCCUAGCAUCUUAUCUCAAGAAGCUACUUGAAGAUGUGCUCCAGCAAAACAAGAAGGUACAUCAGGAGAGAUGAACACAUAGAAAUUAAGAAAACGGAGACUGAACAAAGGAGAGAAGCUCAGAGAAAGCCCAGGAGAAUGUUAGAGGAGCAUCUUGGGUGACACAUAUGCAUGGGACAUAGAGGGGAUAGAGCUGGAAUUAAAGCAAUAUGACAAGACAUUUUGAGAGUUGUCGCUGAAAUUUCUGCCGCCCCUGUACUUUCUUUUUAACCUGAGAAUAAGACGCCCCAAUGAGCCUGACCUAGAUGUGUCCUUUUAUUUAGCUUGUCUUCACCAAGUGAUUUGGAAGUUCAUAUUUUCCUUUCCGCCUGUAUCAGCUGAGGAUGGUCACCUCACCCAGAAGUGUUCUACUUGGACCUACUCUUAAAAACUGAAGAGAAAUUUAGAAGGCAAAAACUAACAGCAGCUCCAGCCUUAUUUCUGCUGUAUGUCAAACCUGGUUCACAUUUCAGCUCAGUUAGACGAUACAAAUCUUUUUUGAGAUCUUUGUUUUCAAAGACUCAUUCAUGAAAAUGCCCAUGGGUUUCCCAAAAGGGACUCUUGUAAAUUCCCAGAGAAGUUAGAGAUCAUCCAGAGACCCCAUUCAUUUUAUCUUCCACUGGGAAAGCCAUUUUCUUACAUAGCUCAGUUUGUGCUUGUUACCCAAAUGUUAAAAAAUAAAGCACAUAUUGCUUAGGGGUACAUACUUAGUAAAAUAUAAAGGAAAGCAAGAGAAUAAUUAACACCAAGUCUGGAGAGUGGUUAUGUCUAGGGUGGGGGAAGAGAGGAGUCUUCCAUUUUGGGCGAUUAUAGGCACAUUCUUAUGACACAAAUAAUCUUCUUAAUCUAGGUAUGGGUAUAGAGGUG